This is a long non-coding RNA of Populus nigra (black poplar), 1093 nucleotides long. RefSeq lists it as uncharacterized. The record is from RefSeq and is a predicted model, not a curated record. The transcript is spliced from 2 exons. NCBI's taxonomy places the organism in Eukaryota, Viridiplantae, Streptophyta, Magnoliopsida, Malpighiales, Salicaceae.
UGGAAAGCCAUUGAGCGGUCGUACUCACACAAUGGCUAUCUAUCUUAUCUCUAUAGUUUAAUUCACCAGUUGCUUUACGCUGAGGAUCACUGCCCAAAGGCUAUAUCUGCUUUCCAUAUAACACUUUCCGGGAAAACACCUGCAAGCUGCGAAAUUGUGAUUCCCAUGUCUAGCUGUCUUUGACUUGCAGCAAAAUCUCUACCAAACCCCUUGAAAUCAGAGCGCUAACUGAAAAGUAUUACCACUUGAAAUUAAAUUAGCGUUAAUUGGAGGGUUUCAUGCAACAGCAGCCACACAUAUAAAAUGGCGUGUCGAGUAGCAUUCCAUGAAUAACAAGCAACAAUGGGCGGCAUAGCUUAUUUGCUUUCUUUCAUUUUGAUCCAUGAGCUGCUUCUAUCAUCUCAUAUCAGUAACACAGGCAAAGCCUCUGCAUGGGAAGCUCCUCCGUCUUGGUCUUCCCCUGAUGUGAUUUCAUCAAAUGAAAUCUCUUAUUACAAGUUGAAGGGAGUGUCUAGAAGGACAAAGCCAUCACCUCCACCUCCAAGGGUUAAUGUUCCUAUUCAUUACAAAAGUCCUCCACCACGACCGCCGCCGCCGCCACCACCUCCGCCGCCGCCGCCGCCGCCGCCACGACGACGACGACGACGACGACCACCUCCACCGCCACCAUGUUGAUGCUAGAUAUCAUUCUUCAAAAGAUUGUGUAGAAUCCAUCGAUCAUUCACAUGGAUUUAAAGCAAUAUCGCCAUCCCAGUGACAGGUGACUGCGCCAGAGCUGAGAUUAUGUUCUCAUGCCCCGGGAUUGUCAUGCUCUUAUUCUCAGGCCUCAGCCAUGCAUGUUCCAUAGCUCCAACGACUGCAGCCACAUUUGAAAAAACAAUUGCAGUAUAUCAAGAAAUCUGGCAAAGAUAUAUAUUAAUAAUCCAAAAAUUUUAUUAUUAUUUUAUCGUCACCCAUUUCAGUUUGCUAGUUUGCAAACUGAAGUUGCCAUCUUUUUUUGUUUUCACAAACAAAUUAGUAAAUAUUGUAAUUUUGUUAUUGUAAAUAAAAAUAUAGUAUAAUAAUAUUCAAUAUAAAACAAAUUAUAGAUUUA